RNAcentral lists this ribosomal RNA (490 nucleotides) under uncultured bacterium. RNAcentral's name for it is "partial 16S ribosomal RNA". It matches the Rfam family "Bacterial small subunit ribosomal RNA", at positions 28 to 523 of the family's 1533-position model. The record is from RNAcentral.
GACGAACGCUGGCGGCGUGCUUAACACAUGCAAGUCGAGCGGUAAGGCCCUUCGGGGUACACGAGCGGCGAACGGGUGAGUAACACGUGGGUGACCUGCCCUUCACUUCGGGAUAAGCCUGGGAAACCGGGUCUAAUACCGGAUAGGACCUCCGCAUGCAUGUGCGGUGUUGGAACGUUUUUCGGUUGAGGAUGGGCCCGCGGUCUAUCAGCUUGUUGGUGGGGUGAUGGCCUACCAAGGCGACGACGGAUAGCCGGGCUGAGAGGGUGAUCGGCCACACUGGGACUGAGACACGGCCCAGACUCCUACGGGAGGCAGCAGUGGGGAAUCUUGCGCAAUGGGCGAAAGCCUGACGCAGCAACGCCGCGUGGGGGAUGACGGCCCUCGGGUUGUAAGCCUCUUUCGCGAUCGACGUAGCUCGUACUUCUGGUACGGGUGACGGUAGGUCGAGAAGAAGCACCGGCCAACUACGUGCCAGCAGCCGCCGUAA